AGUGAACGCUGGCGGUAGGCCUAACACAUGCAAGUCGAACGGCAGCACAGUAAGAGCUUGCUCUUACGGGUGGCGAGUGGCGGACGGGUGAGGAAUACAUCGGAAUCUACUUUUUCGUGGGGGAUAACGUAGGGAAACUUACGCUAAUACCGCAUACGACCUACGGGUGAAAGCAGGGGAUCUUCGGACCUUGCGCGAUUGAAUGAGCCGAUGUCGGAUUAGCUAGUUGGCGGGGUAAAGGCCCACCAAGGCGACGAUCCGUAGCUGGUCUGAGAGGAUGAUCAGCCACACUGGAACUGAGACACGGUCCAGACUCCUACGGGAGGCAGCAGUGGGGAAUAUUGGACAAAGGGCGCAAGCCUGAUCCAGCCAUACCGCGUGGGUGAAGAAGUCCUUCGGGUUGUAAAGCCCUUUUGUUGGGAAAGAAAAGCAGCAGGUUAAUACCCCGCUGUUCUGACGGUACCCAAAGAAUAAGCACCGGCUAACUUCGUG
RNAcentral lists this ribosomal RNA (492 nucleotides) under uncultured bacterium. RNAcentral describes it as "partial 16S ribosomal RNA". It matches the Rfam family "Bacterial small subunit ribosomal RNA", at positions 29 to 507 of the family's 1533-position model. The record is from RNAcentral.